GUUUCCUCCAGGUGUGGAGAUGCUUGUAUCUGGGACCCCCUGCCAUUUCUCAGGACACCCUCCUGCUCCUAGCUGGGAGAUCCAGCAUCCUCAUGAAUGCGGGGCCCAAGGCCACCAACUGUUCCACCUGCUGUCAGCCAGGCCUGUUGCCCCAGCCCUACACCCACAGCUCACCCAGCAGGGACUGGAGUGUGCUGCUGCACUGCUGGAGCCGGUCGCCCGGGUCGGAGGUUGGGAAGAAGACAGCCGCUGGCAGGCCACUGGUUGGGGGGUCCAGCCGGAAGCCCACAGCGGUGAGGAGGGCCUGCCAGCCAGGGAUGCCGCCCACUUUGUUCUCCACACUCUGCUGGGAUGUGUACAUGGCAUUGCGCUGCCCAUUCUGGAUGCGCUGCAGGGAUUUCUCCACCUGAGGGGGAAUUGGGGUAAACACUGGGAUGCCGGAGCUCAGGCAUCCCAGACAGGAGGAAGUGUGUACUCACACCAGCCAGGAGGAAACAAGCCUGCCUGGGAGGACAGACGAUCAGCCCUGGCUGUCCCUCAGGAGCGGGGGGCCUCCAAGGCACACUGCCCACUGGGUCAAGGAGUAUCCAGGAGGAGUUAGAAGCAUGACCCAUCUGCCUGGCACCAGCACCUGGGGCUGCCAGGCAGCCACCCCUGCAGCUGUGUUGACAGGACCUGGCAGAGGGACUGACCCACCUUUGGAAAAUGACACCAGCAAUAUCAGGAUGUGUCAACUGGAUUUAUGCUAAGAAAAUAGGAUUUUUGGUGUUCCUCUGUUUCCCAAAGUUUGAGACACUUUCAGACACUCUGCUUUGCGGUUGUGGCCGAUGUUACCCAUGGGUGGGACUUUUGCUUUGCUCUAGAUUUUUGUAACACCCUGGGGAGUUUCAGGGGCCAAUGCUGAGAGAAGACCACAGGCUGACACAUCAUGAGACCCUCUGGGCAGGUCCACUAAGAGCAUGUAUUCUAGAACAUGCAGGGCUUGAAGCUUCACAAGAUAUUCAGUGCACUCCUUACAGAUCCUGUCAAAUGUGGACCGGGUGGUGUCAUCGCACCACCAUCAUCCCCUUGUUACCCCUGAGAACACAGCUUCAGAGAGGGUAAGUAACCUAUCUCAGGCCACACAGCCAGGACAUGGAGUAGAUCCAUCCUAAGUCUUUCUACCACACACUCCUUUCUACAGUCAUGGGUUAAAUGAGGGUGCCAUGGAAUGGGUCAUCCAGUGUACACUGACAUCAGGAGGAGUUUCACAUUCAUACACUCAUGGCAAAUGGUUCUGUUGCUCCCUGGUCCAAAGAUGAUCUUAAUAGUAGGAAAAACUCAUUUGGCAGAAGCAAGACUCAGCACACAGGCUCUCUCCCUGAGUCUUCUGUGGCUGGCCUUGCCCUGCCCUCCCCUCCCCAACCCCACUGGCAGAAUAAAGUCGGGGGGCUGUGAGGACUGAGCCCCAGGCCUUGACAGGCACCCGCAGCCAGCCGAACUCCCACCUGCCCAGUUGGAGGGGUGCGAGAAGGCCUUGCUGCUCUGCACCACCUUCAUGGCCUCCCCCAGGGCGGCGCUGGCUUUCAGGCCGUUCAGCAGGGAUGAGUAGAAGGCAUGGAUGAACAUCUUAGAAGCAGCCACUGGCACAGGCCACAGAGACACGAGGACACACUGAGCGCCGGCAGCCAGGAAGGCCCUUGUCAGCGCGAUGACCCCGUCGGCUGUGACUUUGCUGUUGGACUCCUGGGAGGAGCCAAGCACCACCAGCUUCACAGGCAGCUGCAGGUCCAGGACGUCGGCGGCAGUGCCUAACUUACUGAGAAUCAUGCCUGCUGUGAUGAGCCCUUGGAAACCAUCAGGACUGGAUGGUAGGGGUCCUGAGAGGAUUGGGGGAGGAGGCCUUGAUAUGACAGAGUGGACAGAGGCCGUGGAACCCAGGACAGCCAGCCUGCUCCACAAUCCUCAUCCCCACAGACCUUCAUGUGUGGCUCCUAAAUAAGAGGAAACCCACUCCUGAUAAGUCAGGGGCUUUGAAAAGUGAUUUUGUUUAAAUGGUGCAAACAAGCAAGCCAAUCUUGGGGAGACAGGGCUAAACUUAAGUCCUUUAAGAAGCUCUACAUACUGACAAGAUUCUAGUUCCCUUCCACCUUAUAUGCUGCAAAGUAAAAAGUAUCACUGAAUGAGAAAAUCAGCAUAAAGAAGCCCAAUAAUGUCUGCCUGAGUUUCCCCUAUGAUGACUUUUGGUACUUUUUGGGAAACAUUAAGUAUGAAGUUAUUUCAAAAUAAUUUUUUGGUGCCUCUGCUUGGUGAUGCCUUAAACUCUGGGUAAGAGAAACACCAGGUGCCUGUCAGGAGAUGGCCUUUUCCAGGUUUCUGGUUAAGCUACAAACAGCUAACUGGCUGCUGUCAUCAAAAUAAAAGCUUUCUGAAGGUGGAGGCAUCUGAUACCCAGAGUGCUGCUAUCAGCCGGCACGGUGGGCCGCUGGGUGGCAGGAGCGUCGAGAAGGCCAGCUCGCUUCCUAUCUGGGAUUCAGAAUCAGCUAUGGAAACUUGAGAGACCUAGAGAAAAUAACUUCUUUCACUUUGAACUGAUUCUUUGCUUCAUAAGAAAAGUAUUAUCCAGCCACAAAAAUGGUCAAAAUUCAGAUCUACAAAAGCCUGUCAGGCAGAAACUGACCCCACUUAGGCCACGCCAAUGAGCAAGUCAUCAAAGCAGCCAAGACAGGUCCUGUGGGGGCCACCCAUGCACAGGGCCCAGCCUCGGGUCCUAACCCCGCCUAUGCUUUCCGCCACCAUAAAGAGGCCCAUCUGGGUAAGACCUGUCCCGCCUGCUGUGGGGUAUUAGGGCAGAUGGGGUCUGAGGGGUCUGAGGGCUCUGAGAGCAGCUGGCAGCUCAAGGACAUCCGGAGUUGGAGGAUGGAGCAAUGCAGGCCCUUGUGGUAAAGACAGUCCUGCAGCCGCGCAGGCAGGGAUGCUGCAAGUGGAGUGCCAGGCGGGUGCGGAGCCCUGUGGGACUGUGGAGGGGUCAGAGGGAAGCCAGGAUUUUGGGGUCUCUGAGAGUUUGGAGAAGGGGAAGAAGAUUAAAGCUUGUUUCAAAAGUUUCUAAUCAGGUGGGCAGGGCCAAGGGUGGCUGUGGGGUGAGACCCAUGACUCAGGGUGGCCCACUGUUACUCUAUUGAUUUUUGGGCGUUUUUUUCCAAAUUGAUUAUUCUUGCUGAAUGAGACCUGAGUCCUUGACUGUCCCCUUAAAGCCACCUGACUUGUUUUCAGUUCCACUGGCCUGUCGGGCUGUUUUCUACUCAACUCCACUCUUGCUUGUCUGCCCUCCCUGCCUGGGGCCCAGCCAGCAGUCAGCUCAAGGGCCAGAUGAAUUGGGUGGCUGUGCUCUGCCCACUGGGCAUCGUGUGGAUGGUGGGUGACCAGCCCCCUCAGGUGCUCAGCCAGGCCUCAAGCCUUGCUGUGUACCUCAGAGCAGCUCCGUACCCUGAUGUCACAGCAAAGAAACUUAGACAUGACACAAACUGUGGCUUCCCAAGGCAGCAAAGAAUGGCCAGGGGUCAUGAGGGCCGUGCCCCACUUUUGGACAGACCUACUCUAAAGUCACGCUACCUGCGUGCAAAUCAUAAAAUCAACACUUUUGAGGAGAUCACAGCUAUGCCUUCGUAACACAGCCCAGUCCGACCAGAUAGACGGUGCCUCGUGACCCGAAAACAAGCCCCCGGCCCCCCACCAUGUGUGUGAGCCUUACCUUGGACUGCACGCUGAGGGAGCGGAUGGAAGGGACAGCAAGGAGGCCGAAGCGCUCGUAGAGGUACUCAUUGGAGGAGCUUCCCUUCAGGAGGGCGAAAGGAAUGAGGUAGAGCUCCCCCUCCAGAACCAGGAUGAGCUGCCGGUGCCGGCCCACGGGGCCGCUGGAGUGCAUCAGGCCCUAUGGAGCAAGCACGGAGAGGCUGACAUGGGUGGCCCAGCAGGCAGGGGUUUCAGGCACCAGGACAACCCUGAGCCCUAGCCUGGAUGACACAAGCACGAGCAGGUGAGGCCUGUGGGGGUGUGGGGCGCCAUGGGGCAUGGGCCGAGUUGCAGCCCUGCAGGAGCGGCACCAACUGGCAUGCUCGCUUGUGGACUGGCAAGGGCUGGCCUGGCAGCAUCCAUCUGCCUCACAGUCCUGAGAAGGUUAGAGGACAGUUUCUUGAAGUUCACAAGAACCUGAAGUGGGUUGGAGACCGGUCUGUACCGCACAGGCACCCUGAGAAGGGGUGGGAAUGGCCCCUCUCAAAACAAGAUCUGUUUUCCAUUUCAAUGGACAAGAGGCUAGAAAAUCACAGUGAGGACGGGAGGUCUGGGGGCUGGCAUGACAGCCCCUGUAGAAGGGGAUGGGCUGGGUUCUAGGAUCUUCCGUGACCUCCUCUGAGAAAGAGUGGCCCCUUGGCUCUGGGCUUGGGAGGUGCCGUCCCCACUUGUUCCCUCUGGGGAUGUCAGGGGACCCAAUGCAUGGAUGACUCCCAUCCCUCUUGAAAGGCCGAGCAUGAGGACUCGAGGCAGGGUGUGCACAGGGCCACAGCGGACACAGCCUCAUUCCUGUUCAUUGCAGAACAAGGCUAAGGGCGCGGGCAUCUUAAUGAGAGCAGCAGGCAACAAUCCUGGAAGCUGGGUCCACACAGACUGCGGUGAACAAAGAGGUGGCGUGGAAGCUGCUGCUGCAGCCCAGAGCCUGCCAAGAAGGUCCCAGGUCCACAGGGCCUGCGCAACACUGGGUGCCAGGGGUGGGGCUGGCCUGCCCCCCAACCCCAUCUGCUGAGGAGUGGCUGACAAGCGGACACCCACCAGGGUGCCACUCGCUUGUGCCUGGGGAAGCAAAUGUGCUCGCUUGACCCGUCUGAUGUGCUGCCGUGGGCACUUGACUGAGAGUGGCAGAGCACUAGGCUAACCCAAAGUGACACAUGCCUGGCGGGAUGUUCAGUCUCUGUAAACCCAUAUGGUUUUUUUUUUUCUUUCCUUUAAAAAAAAUUUCUAGCUCCAUCUAGCGAAAGCAGAAAUAAAAAGUAUUAGGC
Molecule: long non-coding RNA, 5033 nt
Filed under: Homo sapiens (human)
Lineage: Eukaryota; Metazoa; Chordata; Mammalia; Primates; Hominidae
Description: HSALNT0405534
Rfam family: TTC28 antisense RNA 1 conserved region 3 (bases 425-605)
Source: RNAcentral